UUAUUUAUUUUUUUUUAGAUCUGUGUAAUUAUACUUUUUUACAUAAAAAUUAAGAAGAAAAAAGAAACAUUAAAAAAAAAGGAACACCACGACAUUAAAGACAUUGACGUUUCUGAAUAUUCCGCAUUUGUAUUCUCCUGGAUUAAAUGAAAGUACACCGCUAUUAUCUACUUUCAUUUGGAUAAAAUGGAAGGCAAAGUUGCCUUUUGUGAUGCAUAAAAGAGUUAGAUGCGACGCGAGAUCCGGCGCUUGAUAUUAAAGUAUUAAUGCCGUGUAACACCGUCCAACCCCGUCCAAGGGAUAUUUUAAUAUAAACGGGGAAUUUAGAUAUUUCACUUUGACAAAUUCUCGACCCCCAACAAGUGCUCAAAGGAAAUUGAAGCUAGCCAACAACGACUGCAGUAGGGCCGUGUACACGCGAUGCGGCUGGUUAUUUUAUGUUUACAGAUGACUCGACAUCCCAUAAUAAAUAUCGUUGCCCGGUCCACAAAUCUUCGGUGCAUCGCAUUUGUCCCCGUUUCUUUUUUCUUAUUCAUGAAACCGCGCCGGACGUCCUCUCCUUUUACGUAUCUUGGCGCCGUUGGCCACCAUCCCGCCUUAACAUUAUGAAAAUCUCAAUAACAUCGAAAGAAAUAUAGCUCCAUCUCAUCCCUUUGAAAGCGUUUCCCUCCGACCGAGGUAUCGAUUAAACGGUUGAUAGCAAUUUCCUGCAGACGGCGGGCCGAUUCGUUAACACGAAAAUAUGAUACGGAUUUUAUUAGCGCGUGAAAUGGAAGCGAUUUUGUUUCUCGCGCGGUGGCACACUUUUUUCACCGGUGCUCGCGCGAUUAACGCCGUGGCCCGCGUAUCGUUUCGCGUUGUUACACGGCGCGGAACAGCUGGCCGAAGAGUUCAAUUUUUGUCGUGGCGGAACGGGCGACGAUUUAAUGAAAACACAGGCGGUCGUAUUUCCAUGGGGAAAAAAACCUUCGACCAAGAACAAUUCUACCGUCACCUGGUGAACGUGUACACCAUCGCGACCGAACGAAUGGGAUAAGAAACGAGCCGACAACCGGAAGAUAGAUUUCGAGAUAAAAAAUGGUUCCACGUUCAACGCUCGUGUUUAUCAGGGCUGGCCGCUUAUCAAUCACGUUACACGGGAAUGAUCCAAGCGACGUCAUCGUUCGAGAGAAGGAGGAAACUUGCUCCAUCCUCUGUGACCGCGUUAAGGGAAUCAGGGGGUAUCUACUAUGGCGGAGUAAAUCAACCGGUAUCCAGAAUUGACGCGGAGCAUCGAGGGAGGCAGCUGACGGUGACGCUGCGGAACGAAAUGAUUGGCGUAUCGGCUCGCCCGUGGGACCGAUUCCGCCGGCUAGGGCCAAAUGGAUCGUCGAUUUUUCCCUGACUACCUCUGGGAACUGGACGGCUGGAAGGGAAGUCGUAGAAACGGAUAGGAACAGCGGUGGCAGAGAUUCGAAGCGGUCUCUCCCUC
Molecule: long non-coding RNA, 1471 nt
Organism: Apis mellifera (honey bee)
Lineage: Eukaryota; Metazoa; Arthropoda; Insecta; Hymenoptera; Apidae
Exons: 3
Source: RefSeq, a predicted model, not a curated record